RNAcentral lists this long non-coding RNA (1236 nucleotides) under Macaca mulatta (Rhesus monkey). Its description in RNAcentral is "lncRNA (ENSMMUG00000061375.1)". Lineage: Eukaryota; Metazoa; Chordata; Mammalia; Primates; Cercopithecidae. The record is from RNAcentral.
CCAGCUUUUAUUCCCUUAUUUGGCCCCAUCCACAUCUUGCUGAUUGGUCCAUUUUACAGAACACUGAUUGGUGCAUUUUUACAGAGUGCUGACUGGUGUGUUUACAAACCUUUAGCUAGACACAGAGUGCUGAUUGGUGCGUUUUUACAGAGUGCUGAUUGUUGCAAUUACAAUCCUCUAGGUAGACAGAGAAGUUCUCCAAGUCCCCAUUCGACCCAGGAAGUCCAGCUGUCUUCACCUCUUACAAUGAAUGAGUUUACAAUUUAUGGUGAAUAACUUACAAGCAAAUAAUUAAAGAUCUACAAAACUCUUCGUGCUUUACAUUAACAGAAUGAACUGAUUUAUUUAAAAAUAUUUAUACUGAGCUACUACUAUAUGUCAACCCCUGUGGGAAUUCAGAGUUGAUUAAGGUAUGAGCAAUUCAAGGUUUUCUGCAAAUAAUGAACUUACUAUAACUUAGUCAUACCUCAACACUGUAAUUUGAAGCUUAGAUGUUCUGCUUAAAAUUAUAAACAUGUAAAGCUAAAAGUCCUUCAGUAAAAAAAAAAAAACAACAACAUAUUCAAAUUUUGCAUAUUUUUGCAAAAUUUGUAAAAUUUUGUUUGCUUUGUAAUUUAGAAAUUUGGGGUGGUAUACCAUUAAAUUAGAACAUAUCAUAUAAUCUAGAAAAACAGAGAUUACUGAAUAUAAACGUUAUCCUGAUUUCAUAUACAGAAUAUUUCACAGAAGACUCUUUCAGGGGCAAUGCAAAAUGAAAAGUAAAAAAGUUAUGCCUUAUUGGUAAUCUGAGAAAUGCAAAUUUCAACCAUAAGAAAAUUUCAUUUUAUCCCAUCAUUUGGAAAAAAGAAAGGAAAGUCUGAUAAUACCACAUGUGAGCUAGAAUAUGGACCCACUAGGACUCUCAUAUGGCUGACAAGAGAAUAAAUUAAUACAAUAUUCUGAAAAAGAAUUUAGCAUUAUCUUGUGAAGCUACCAAUGUGUAAAUACAAGACUCAGAAUAUAUUUAUAGGUAAAUAACUUACAGAACUCUUGAGUAUGUGUGCCUGGAGACCUGUAUAAAAUGUUUAUGGAAUUACUGGGCCCCAAAUUACAAAAAUGUAAAACGAUUAUAAGCAUAGGAAUAGAGUGCUACAAAAAGAGUAUGGCGAUUCCUCAAGGAUCUAGAACUAGAUGUACCAUAUGACCCAGCCAUCCUAUUACUGGGUAUAUACCCAAAAGAUUAUAAAUCAUGCUGCU